Molecule: microRNA precursor, 97 nt
Filed under: Nicotiana sylvestris (wood tobacco)
Lineage: Eukaryota; Viridiplantae; Streptophyta; Magnoliopsida; Solanales; Solanaceae
Description: MIR6152 microRNA precursor family
Rfam family: MIR6152 microRNA precursor family
Source: Rfam by way of RNAcentral
UGGACAGAUUAUUGUAUUCGAUUGUAUUCACAGCGUGAAAUAGGGGAUUACACUAUUUUUAAAACGGAAAGUGAAUCAAUUAACAUAAUAGACUCCU